Molecule: non-coding RNA, 28 nt
Filed under: Mus musculus (house mouse)
Lineage: Eukaryota; Metazoa; Chordata; Mammalia; Rodentia; Muridae
Source: RNAcentral
UGAAGAUCAUUUUUGCUUUGGUUAUGUG